Long non-coding RNA from Balaenoptera musculus (blue whale), 799 nucleotides. RefSeq lists it as uncharacterized. The record is from RefSeq and is a predicted model, not a curated record. Lineage: Eukaryota; Metazoa; Chordata; Mammalia; Artiodactyla; Balaenopteridae. The transcript is spliced from 6 exons.
GCUCCCCUCGAGUGCUUUCCCAACCUGACACCAAAUCUGCAUUUUAGGACAGUUUCCUUUAAGUCACCCCGGAGCCCGUAGUUCCAGAAGCCCGAGGGGCCCGGGCUGGACCCAGAGGGAAGGGAGGGAUCUCCCUCGGGAGCCUUCUAGGCCUGCCACGGAAUAAGGGUGAAAUGGAACAAAAUUCCAUCCAGCUCCCAGCAAAUCCGACUGGAACGGAUGGUUUCCAGUACGAGCCAUGAGGUAAAAAGUCUCAGAUUCCACGUGCAAUAAACAGCCCGGAUGUCUGAAAAUGUGACUCUGCCUAUUGGGAAAAGAAUGUCAAAAAGGGCCUUUCACAUCAGCUAUCUCAGUCCCCUGUUGUAUCAGUGCAAGAUGAGGUUCAACAAUUUGCUGAAGGUUUUGCAGCUGCUAGGAACUUCAUGUCCAAAGAUUUGUCCUACAGAAAGUCAUCCGGAGAUAUAUAUAGUAUAGAUGGAGUGUAUGUUUACGUGUAUAUAUGAAGUGUAUAUGUGGAAUAUAUAUGCACAUUUGCUGCAGCAUAAUAGUGAAAUUUGGAAAUCAGUCAUUCUCAUCAGCAAGGGAUUGAACAGGAUUGAUGGCCAUAUAAGAAGAGGAAGAGAUCUCUCUCCCUGUCUCCACGGCACCAAGGAAAAGCCGUGUGAACACACAGCAAGAAGGCAGCCGUCUGCAGUCCUAGAAGAGAGCUCUCACCAGAGCCCAACUGUGCUGGCAACCCCAUCCCGGACUCCAGCCUCCAGACUGGGCUUCCCUGGUGGUGCAGUGGUUAAGAAUCCGC